UAGUCCACGCCGUAAACGAUGUCAACUAGGUGUUGGGGCGGUUAAUCGUCUCAUUGCCGGAGCUAACGCAUUAAGUUGACCGCCUGGGGAGUACGGUCGCAAGAUUAAAACUCAAAGAAAUUGACGGGGCCCGCACAAGCGGUGGAGUAUGUGGUUUAAUUCGAUGCAACGCGAAGAACCUUACCAGCCCUUGACAUCCAGUGAAUUUUCUAGAGAUAGAUUAGUGCCUUCGGGAACACUGUGACAGGUGCUGCAUGGCUGUCGUCAGCUCGUGUCGUGAGAUGUUGGGUUAAGUCCCGUAACGAGCGCAACCCUUGUCCUUAGUUGCCAGCACGUAAUGGUGGGAACUCUAAGGAGACUGCCGGUGACAAACCGGGNGGAAGGUGGGGAUGACGUCAAGUCAUCAUGGGCCCUUAUGGGGCUGGGGCUACACACGUGCUACAAUGGGACGGUACAGA
This 458-nucleotide ribosomal RNA is filed under the name uncultured bacterium. RNAcentral's name for it is "bacterial SSU rRNA". It matches the Rfam family "Bacterial small subunit ribosomal RNA", at positions 791 to 1243 of the family's 1533-position model. The record is from RNAcentral.